CGUGAAAUUGUUGAAAGGGAAGCGCUUGCAACCAGACUUGCGCGCUGUUGAUCAUCCGAGCUUCUGCCCGGUGCACUCAGCAGCGUUCAGGCCAGCAUCGGUUUUGGUGGGCGGAUAAAGGCCUUGGGAAUGUAGCUUCUUUCGGGGAGUGUUAUAGCCCUCGGUGCAAUGCGCCCUACCGGGACCGAGGACCGCGCUUCGGCUAGGAUGCUGGCGUAAUGGUUGUAAGCGACCCGUCUUGAAACACGG
RNAcentral lists this ribosomal RNA (249 nucleotides) under Hyaloscypha hepaticicola. RNAcentral describes it as "partial large subunit ribosomal RNA". It matches the Rfam family "Eukaryotic large subunit ribosomal RNA", at positions 398 to 664 of the family's 3401-position model. Lineage: Eukaryota; Fungi; Ascomycota; Leotiomycetes; Helotiales; Hyaloscyphaceae. The record is from RNAcentral.